CGAUCAUCGUGAUCACAUCGCAUGCAUUUUCACAUAAUGAUAAACAGUCGGCUAGCAAAUACGUUAAUAAAUAAUAAAAUAUAUAUUCAUGUGAUGUCAAUGCAGAUCCAGCUCCAUUGUCUAAGUAUGUGGUAGCAUUUGCUAAGAAAGACAAAACCAGAGGAACACCUUAGAAAACUAUGCACUGAUCAACUGGAAGUGUUUUUACAAACAAGAAGAGGUCGACACGAUUACAGAAACAAAGACCAAUCGGCAAACAACCAGCACAUGGACCAUCUCAGUAACAUGGCAAAUGGCAUCAGCACAUGUCUGGGAAGCAAAUCCGGUAAUAACAGACCACAAAGUAGAGGAGGCUUUCGUGGAAGAGGACGCAACAGGGAGCACAACGAGGAAACAAUAGAAGCAAUUAUGAUCAUCCAGUGCCUCAAAAUCUAAAGCCACAGUGUCAGGACUAUGAGGAUUGAAGAACAGUUCAGAAAAAUUUUCAACGAAAUCAAAGGUACUCCAUAUGAAUGUCAUAUGUGAAGAGAACAGUUUACGCGAUCGACAACCAGUUUGCAUCACAAAGCUACUGUAGAUGGUGAAGGAACUUCAACGAGUUGUUUGUGGAUUCUUAAAACAAUGCAUGAUACGAUACCGCUCAAGUGGCUAAAAUUCAACUAAUACUGCAGGAGAUUGGUAGGGAAAUUGUGUGCAAGACUUACGAUGAAUGGCCUUCAGUGAUCAAGGUGUGGCAUAGGUUUGAUGAUGAAGGUACUGGAGGAAGAGUUAGCCAAAAUCUAUGGAGAGAUGAGAUUAGCAAAGAUGAAACUUGCUUUGAGAUCUUCUUGCAAUUGAUGAAGCAGUUUGGACUUCUGUAAGUUGACCUGGUCAUGAUUACCAAUUUACCGACCAUGUGACAAUAGCAUAGGCCGUUGCUUGUCUCACUCCCACUGUCGUACUGUCCCGUAUUCGCUGCAAGCAAUGUUCGGCC
Anneissia japonica is the source of this 973-nucleotide long non-coding RNA. RefSeq lists it as uncharacterized. The transcript is spliced from 6 exons. The record is from RefSeq and is a predicted model, not a curated record. NCBI's taxonomy places the organism in Eukaryota, Metazoa, Echinodermata, Crinoidea, Comatulida, Comatulidae.